AAUAGAUGAAACUAUCCUCAAUGUCAUCAUGGUUAAUACAUAUGACAAAAUGUCUCACGCCAUGAACCAAUCACGAAUGGAUUCAUAGAAGACGAACCAUGAAGCAUCAUUAAUUGUAUGUUAAACAACCUCCUAGUCAUGAGGAGGGAAGAUAUGAGAACACCAUGGCGAGCCUGGAUCCUUUGGAUGCCCGCAUUUUUUCGAUUGCUAAAGGGACUCAAAGCCUUAGAAUGCCCCCAAGAGAACUUCCCUACCCUCAAGUAGAAGAUCAACCAAGGGAACCCACAAACCAAGACAUCCUCCGAUUGGAACAUUGCUCCGAGAUCUAGUGGGGUCAAUUUCUCAGGAAAUGUCAGAAGGAUUGUAAGCAAACCAUAAGAAUCCUUAGCCCAUCUGGAGAUCAUUAUUUCAAGACUGCAUUGGUGUCAAAUUUGUUAGAUUAUGCACUAGUAUCUUAAUACUAUUUAUAUUUAAUUAUUACAUCCUAAAUGUGCAAGAAAUACCUAUAGGGUCACAUGCAUAAACCCACUAGAAUGUAUUAUAGUGCCUUAUUGAAACAAGUUCAUUAGAUAAACACUUACUGGACCACGUUCAUUAGAUGAGCCUAAUAGGCAUUGAUAAGAAUUAAAGUUAGUCACCUUUGGAUUAGGGCUUAUAAACAGAGCAUGCAUGAGAUGCUCCAACCAUGGUUAGACAAUUUUCUCUGACUCUUUCCUCUACUAGCACCUCGAGAUGCAAGGGUUUCUAGAGGUAGCGUUUGGUGGACUUCUUUUAUAAAUGAAGUUUCAAUUGCUUCGUGUGCUCACAUUGUCAAGAGGUUCCCGACAAAAGUGACUCCUUUCAUCAUCUCCUUUGUGAGGACCAGGUCGCACUUAGGAUCCACAGGUGGCAUGGACGAUAGCAAUGCUAGGCCACACAAGUGGUUGUCACGGAUGAUGACGUUGAAGGACGAAAGAUUGAAUUGAACGAUGGUGGUAAACUCACAUGUAAGAUUGUCAUAUGACAUUUAACGUGCCAGGCAGACACUUCCGUCAAGUCUCACUAACGGGGAUGACGUAAGAGUUAACGUACUUGACUUUUUCAUAUUUAGAGUAUUUAAUUUUCUUUUUUCAAGGAUGAAAUCACGCUAUCAGGGACUAAUUUAGUCCUUUACUCACUUGUAUCUAGACUUAAUAUUUCACAUACAAGUUAUCAUUUAUAAU
Long non-coding RNA from Lotus japonicus, 1202 nucleotides. RefSeq lists it as uncharacterized. The transcript is spliced from 3 exons. Lineage: Eukaryota; Viridiplantae; Streptophyta; Magnoliopsida; Fabales; Fabaceae. The record is from RefSeq and is a predicted model, not a curated record.